UGCAGGUUUGUGGGGAUGACACAUAUUUGGAGGUACAGCUCCUGCUUGCAUGCGCAAAAAGUUCAUGAUUUGCAUCUCUAAUAUAACAUGGUAAGUCUUUUUCAUUCUUGAUGUCUCCAUUACGCUAUGUUCAAUUUCAUGAAUGGGAGGAAUUCCGGUAUGAAUUCACAUGAUGUUCAAACACAUAAAUGCCUGAUAUGCUGAAUUGCUAACAUACUGAAAAAUGCUACAGCUUGAUGACUAUGUAGUAAAGUUCAUUCAGAACUUAGUUCUGGCGACAUGGGUCUUGGGGAGUAUAUUGGGUUCCAAUACAAUUGAGCAUGAUUUAUUGGCAGUAUACUACAAAACUACAUUAUUCCCAGGUCAAGCAUUACAUUUGGGCAUAACUUUACAUGCAAUGCAAGUCAGCAAAACAGAUGAGACUUUUUUUCUUACUCCAGAACCACUUAAUUUUUCUCUACUAAUUUCCCCUUUGGAUCUUUGUAGGAGAUAAUGGCACAUCGAUUUGAUGUUUUUAGUUGUACUGUUUAUAUUUUAUUUUCCAAGAAAUACUCAAAAGUAUUGGUGGUAUGACAGUUGAGUACAUUUGUUGAUCUUUUAUUAUGAGCACAUGUUUUUCCCUAUCUAAUAUUAGGACUACGCAUCGUUGUGAUCCGUGUGAUAUGGGGCUUAAUGAUUUGAGAGUCGUUGUCCCAAAAUUAUUCUAAAUGGUUGGUGGGUUUUUAUGUAUCCAUCAGCAGCUUUAGUUUUUGUGAACAUAUUUGUCUAACAGUUGAGUACAUUUACCAGCAAUAUAGAAAUGAAAAUUUCUAAUGACCCAUAUGAUUGCUUUCACUAGCGAGCUCAGGUGUCAGUUCAGAGAGCAACUUCAAUGUUCUCUAAUAUCUGAUUGACCCACAGAGAAUUUUUAUUGAUGUUCUAGUACUGCAUACUAAUGUAUUUUCAAUGCAUAUUUUAUAGCUUAGGGUGUGAAAUAUUCAUUUUGUGCAGCUUGCAAUCAUCAACUAUUUAACUCUGGUGAAAUUUAUGGUGUUGUGGAACGAUUGAAGUUAGUACAAAGUCGAGACACUUAUAUUGAGAUGGAGGGAUUAUAAGUUUACUUACAGUUGAACUGAACCUCUAAUGUAGAAAGCAGAUGGUGGUCAAGAAUCGGAAAAUGCUCAUGCUUGAAAUAGCAAUGUGACCAAGCAAGGUGGUACUGAAUCAAGUGUAUAACUUCCUGUGUCACUAAGCACAUCAAGAAAAUACAUUUGUAGGCAGUAUGUUUGGCGAAGUAUCUUGGUUUUUUAGGUAAAAAAGCCAAAGCUGACCACUCCAACACAACCUAAGACAUUGGUGCUCCAAGACAACCUCAAGACAUUUCUAUGGUACUUCUCUCAUAGUUUUAUCAAAGAACAUUUCAUCUUGUACUAAUCCAAGAGCUUAUGUUCUAAGCUUCUCUUUGUUAAAAAAUUUCUUCCAGGCUAGCUGAGAGUUUAGAAUUGGAACACAUUGCAGGAGCAAGCAGCAACUACGCAAGAAUUAGUCUUUAAAUGAACACAUAUUAUGUAUAAUGUAUGGAAAGCUUAGUUCUACUUUGUAGUAUAUAUAUUC
RNAcentral lists this long non-coding RNA (1593 nucleotides) under Triticum aestivum (bread wheat). RNAcentral describes it as "long non-coding RNA (TAES_LNC023038)". Lineage: Eukaryota; Viridiplantae; Streptophyta; Magnoliopsida; Poales; Poaceae. The record is from RNAcentral.